CAUUCACGGAGAGUUUGAUCCUGGCUCAGGACGAACGCUGGCGGCGUGCUUAACACAUGCAAGUCGAACGAUGAACCGCCUUCGGGUGGGGAUUAGUGGCGAACGGGUGAGUAACACGUGGGCAAUCUGCCCUGCACUCUGGGACAAGCCCUGGAAACGGGGUCUAAUACCGGAUACUGACCUGCCAAGGCAUCUUGGCGGGUCGAAAGCUCCGGCGGUGCAGGAUGAGCCCGCGGCCUAUCAGCUUGUUGGUGAGGUAAUGGCUCACCAAGGCGACGACGGGUAGCCGGCCUGAGAGGGCGACCGGCCACACUGGGACUGAGACACGGCCCAGACUCCUACGGGAGGCAGCAGUGGGGAAUAUUGCACAAUGGGCGAAAGCCUGAUGCAGCGACGCCGCGUGAGGGAUGACGGCCUUCGGGUUGUAAACCUCUUUCAGCAGGGAAGAAGCGAAAGUGACGGUACCUGCAGAAGAAGCGCCGGCUAACUACGUGCCAGCAGCCGCGGUAAUACGUAGGGCGCAAGCGUUGUCCGGAAUUA
RNAcentral lists this ribosomal RNA (540 nucleotides) under Streptomyces sp. SID10362. RNAcentral describes it as "bacterial SSU rRNA". It matches the Rfam family "Bacterial small subunit ribosomal RNA", at positions 1 to 553 of the family's 1533-position model. The record is from RNAcentral. Lineage: Bacteria; Bacillati; Actinomycetota; Actinomycetes; Kitasatosporales; Streptomycetaceae.